Molecule: ribosomal RNA, 467 nt
Filed under: uncultured bacterium
Lineage: Bacteria
Description: partial 16S ribosomal RNA
Rfam family: Bacterial small subunit ribosomal RNA
Source: RNAcentral
ACGAACGCUGGCGGCGUGCUUAACACCUGCAAGUCGAACGGAAAGGCCCUGCUUUUGUGGGGUGCUCGAGUGGCGAACGGGUGAGUAACACGUGAGUAACCUGCCCUUGACUUUGGGAUAACUUCAGGAAACUGGGGCUAAUACCGGAUAGGAGCUCCUGCUGCAUGGUGGGGGUUGGAUAGUUUCGGCGGUUGGGGAUGGACUCGCGGCUUAUCAGCUUGUUGGUGGGGUAGUGGCUUACCAAGGCUUUGACGGGUAGCCGGCCUGAGAGGGUGACCGGCCACAUUGGGACUGAGAUACGGCCCAGACUCCUACGGGAGGCAGCAGUGGGGAAUAUUGCACAAUGGGCGGAAGCCUGAUGCAGCAACGCCGCGUGCGGGAUGACGGCCUUCGGGUUGUAAACCGCUUUCGCCUGUGACGAAGCGUGAGUGACGGUAAUGGGUAAAGAAGCACCGGCUAACUACGUG